CAAAUCUUGUGCAUAAGAUGACACUCUUAUAUACCUGCAGUAACUAUCAGAGGACCAGCGUCCUAGUACUUUGACCAAAUGGUCUUCAAUAUUUGCUUUAACGGCAGUUGUGGCAGCUCCAAUGCGUAAGCUAUGACCAUUGAAGUGAUCAGGGUUGAAGCCACAUAAACUAUUAAAUACAUGUUAAAUACAAUUAAUGAAAUAAUUUCUUUCCAAGGCU
RNAcentral lists this long non-coding RNA (220 nucleotides) under Mytilus galloprovincialis (Mediterranean mussel). The record is from RNAcentral. Lineage: Eukaryota; Metazoa; Mollusca; Bivalvia; Mytilida; Mytilidae.